AGGAGAGGCAUAUGUUUGCAUCGUGGAAGCCUCUAACCACCUUAAAAUUUAGCCCAGUUUUAGUUUUUUUUUUGGGUGUUGUGUGUAUAUUCAUGAAAAAGGCACUUGCUGAGGGUAACCUUCAAAUGACGACAAUGGUUAGCCAUGCCUGUAAAACAGACACUUGAUGCGGGUAACCUUUAAUUGUGGUCAGGGUUAGCCAUGCCAUUAAUUUAGUAAAGGAAAUGCUGACCAUUUAAUGGGAGGAUUCUGCAGGGGGAUACUUUAAAAAAAACCCAGCACUUUAUUCACGCGUUGCGAUGUAGAAGCCAUCAACCUCUGUCGGCAGAACAAUUUACGUUCCUAAAGAAAUGAAGAAUUGAUCUACCAAAAGUUUGUGGGGCUUCCUUCACACAGCAACAUGCGGCAAAACCUGAAACGAAAAGAAAAAUAUAUAUUAGUAAAAAUAGAGAUAAUAUUUGUUUGGACGUAAUAGAAGAAUGCCGCAGCAGCUCGGUUAUGAAAAUGCCUUUUGUUCUUUGUUUACAUUCUUAUAUUCGUCAUUUGACAGCAGACUAUCGCGUUGCCAACGAAAUGUUUUGAUAGCAAUGUAUUAUCAGCACAAUGGCGGAAUAUGCAUUCUUGGGGGAGACCAAAUAAUUGAAGGCUUUCUGAAUAAAGAGAAAAACCUAUGCAUAAGGGUACCGCCCAGUGAAAGGGACAAAUAAUAGGGAUAAAACAAGGAUAACAAUAAGGGAUAAAUCAAUAUGUCGGUUAAUGGAAAGCUGCCAUUUUUCUCUCUAAGCUUAUAAAUAAGUGUUAAAACCAGAGAACGGUGAUUUUAAGUAUUGGUGCUGAGUGAGAAACUUUAACUUCUCUGUGGGAAUAAAGUACAAAGUUUUUGUAAAAAUUAUAAAGUGAAUUUAAAUAUAAUAAAAGCGAUAUCUGCCGAAUAUUGAUUUGAUUAAGAUAAAGGUGACUAUCGCAGGGUGUUGUUAUGAAUAAAGUGGUCAAAGUCCAAUUUUAUCCUCAGACGCAGUAUUGAACCAGCAAUCAAGAAAGGCCACCAGAAACCUUGUUUGUUGGACGGAAGUGUCGUAGAGGAAAUAUAGCCACUAAAAUAGAUUACCCAAGUAGAAAGCCGGAAAAAAGGUAGGACAUUAGUAUUGCCAAUUACCUUAGGGCGCAGAGCCCACUGCCAUCUAGUGGAAACACCCGAGCUGACAAAAACUUUGCAAAAGCUCAGUACCAGAACUUUACCAGAGAAUAUAUAACUUUGUGCCCGAGCGAAUUUACGUAUAACAGUUAUAAUUCGCCGAAGUAUCUCUGCCACAGUCAGUCCCGUAUAAAAAGACUGGCAUUUGGUUAUGUGACGACUGAUUGAGAUCAAAAUAAUCAUAACCAGUUAAAAUCGUCAAAGAAAAUAAUUGUCAUAAAGUAUCUUUAGUUUCUAAGUGUAUAACGUAUUGUAUGAUUUAUUUAUAUUUUGCUUUGCAUGUUAUUUUUGAUUUUUUUUUAUCCAAAUUGACUAUUUUUAUUUGAGUGUAAAUGAUAACGUUUCCUUUUUCCUUUUCGGAUAUACUUUUUUGGAAAUACCUAAAAUUCCCUCGUCUAGUUUACGUCGUAUUUGUUUCACAUUAGGAACCACAAUUGUGCAUCUGGUGAUAUAGUUGAUCCUAAGCCAUAGGUUGUCUAUAAUAGAGCUCUAUUAGGAAAUCUAGGUUAUUGGAGUUUAUUGAGCAUAGUCCACUGAUAAGGACGUAGUUUUGCAAAAUAUUGUGGGUUCUAAUAGACCAGUCGGUCAAUCGUUCUGUUUAUCAAGAUUUGUUUUAUUUGGUUCAAAGAACCUUUCGACAUUCCUCUGGUCAUAGAGAAGAUACUAUAAAAAAGAAGAACAUCAAACUAUAUUUUAUUAAUUUUUUUUUGUUCUAUAUUUUAUUGUGUCUCAGUUUUUUUUUUAUUAAUUUUAAACAGUAAUAAUUAAGGAAAAAGGAUACCUAAUCAUAAAAUUAAAUCAACAUUUUUUUUAAUAAAUAUAAUGUGAAUCUGUAGACAAUUAGAAAUAUGAUAGUUUAACUGAAAAGGAAAGGAGGGAAAGGAUGAUGAGGUGAGUGGUGGUACUUCCAGCGGUAAUAGGGGUCAUCAAGGCAAGAUCGGUAGGAUGACUAUGGUCGGGUGGGCGGAUAAGUUUGACUCUGAACCCGGAGUCCGGAGUUUUGAUGGGAGAAGUUAAAGUAAA
Long non-coding RNA from Musca domestica (house fly), 2218 nucleotides. RefSeq lists it as uncharacterized. Lineage: Eukaryota; Metazoa; Arthropoda; Insecta; Diptera; Muscidae. The transcript has 3 exons. The record is from RefSeq and is a predicted model, not a curated record.